This is a small nucleolar RNA of Dioscorea cayenensis subsp. rotundata (Guinea yam), 107 nucleotides long. Lineage: Eukaryota; Viridiplantae; Streptophyta; Magnoliopsida; Dioscoreales; Dioscoreaceae. The record is from RefSeq and is a predicted model, not a curated record.
AAGAUAUGAUAGGGACAUUUCCUCAAAAAAUAUUUAAAUCUCUCCUACGCCUCAAAUAAUGAUUCAAUGUCUUACUGUAUAUAUGUUGUAAUCUCUUGACAUAACUU